UAGAGGCACCCUUGUAUAUUUCAUCUAUUAUGUCGAUGAUGUAAAUGUAAAAUGUAAAUGUAAUAAAAUCAUGUGAGAGGUGAAAAUGUAUUAAGUUCAUUUAAGAGAUGAGGUUGUAAAUUGAGAUGAAUGAAUGUAAAGAAAUUGUAUAAGCUUUGUAUUUGAUUGAAAGUGAUCAAUAUACAAUGUAUAAAUGUAAUAGUUAGAUUG
This 210-nucleotide long non-coding RNA is filed under the name Ananas comosus (pineapple). RNAcentral's name for it is "long non-coding RNA (ACOM_LNC005434)". Lineage: Eukaryota; Viridiplantae; Streptophyta; Magnoliopsida; Poales; Bromeliaceae. The record is from RNAcentral.